Molecule: ribosomal RNA, 753 nt
Filed under: Mycetocola sp.
Lineage: Bacteria; Bacillati; Actinomycetota; Actinomycetes; Micrococcales; Microbacteriaceae
Description: bacterial SSU rRNA
Rfam family: Bacterial small subunit ribosomal RNA
Source: RNAcentral
GUGGCGAACGGGUGAGUAACACGUGAGUAACCUGCCCUUGACUCUGGGAUAAGCGUUGGAAACGACGUCUAAUACUGGAUACGACGACCGGCCGCAUGGCCUGGUUGUGGAAAGAUUUUUUGGUCAAGGAUGGACUCGCGGCCUAUCAGCUUGUUGGUGAGGUAAUGGCUCACCAAGGCGACGACGGGUAGCCGGCCUGAGAGGGUGACCGGCCACACUGGGACUGAGACACGGCCCAGACUCCUACGGGAGGCAGCAGUGGGGAAUAUUGCACAAUGGGCGCAAGCCUGAUGCAGCAACGCCGCGUGAGGGAUGACGGCCUUCGGGUUGUAAACCUCUUUUAGUAGGGAAGAAGCGAAAGUGACGGUACCUGCAGAAAAAGCACCGGCUAACUACGUGCCAGCAGCCGCGGUAAUACGUAGGGUGCAAGCGUUGUCCGGAAUUAUUGGGCGUAAAGAGCUCGUAGGCGGUUUGUCGCGUCUGCUGUGAAAUCCCGAGGCUCAACCUCGGGUCUGCAGUGGGUACGGGCAGACUAGAGUGCGGUAGGGGAGAUUGGAAUUCCUGGUGUAGCGGUGGAAUGCGCAGAUAUCAGGAGGAACACCGAUGGCGAAGGCAGAUCUCUGGGCCGUAACUGACGCUGAGGAGCGAAAGCGUGGGGAGCGAACAGGAUUAGAUACCCUGGUAGUCCACGCCGUAAACGUUGGGAACUAGAUGUGGGGGCCAUUCCACGGUCUCCGUGUCGCAGCUAACGCA